Zea mays is the source of this 4103-nucleotide RNA transcript. It is a transcript of the gene named CMP-sialic acid transporter 5, with no coding region annotated. Lineage: Eukaryota; Viridiplantae; Streptophyta; Magnoliopsida; Poales; Poaceae. The record is from RefSeq and is marked validated. The transcript has 9 exons.
AUGUGAUAAAGAGUUAAUUAAAUUCCUCUACAAUACCCAGUUAUCCCGAUAGGGCGUCCGUAUGGGCGCCCCAUGUUCUAGUCAAAUCAAGACCAAACUCACGGGUUUUUUUUGUUUCGCGAGUAGCGCGUGCUCGAUCAACGAAAGGAAAAUUUCCGAAACAGAGGCGGCCCGCCGGGCGAGCGCGCCGGAGCCCGCAUGGGUGCCUCGUCCACUCCGGCGGCCGCGGCCGCGGCCGCGCCGAGCCGGCGCAAGCCAAGAUACUAUAGUGACUUCACUCGUUCUUGCAACGGAAGCAGCAAAGGUUAUUUGUGCAAUCAUUUUAUUGAUUGCAGACGGUAGUCUGAAAAAACAGUUCAGUAAUUGGACCCUCAUUGGAUCACUGACUGCGUCUGGACUGCCUGCUGCUAUCUAUGCCCUUCAGAAUAGUCUGCUGCAAGUAUCAUUCAAGAAUCUGGAUUCCUUGACCUUUUCAAUCCUUAACCAGACUAAGCUUUUGUGGACAUCAUUUUUCACAUUUCUUAUUUUGGGGCAAAAGCAAUCAUCCAAGCAAAUUUUAGCAUUGGCCCUCUUAAUUAGUGCCGCUGUUCUUUUAAGUGUUGGGGAGAGUACUAGCAAAGGUUCAAAUGGUGGUGGCUCUGACUAUAUCUUGCUAUAUGGGAUCAUUCCGGUUACAGUCGCUUCUAUGCUGUCUGGUUUGGCCUCUUCAUUAUGUCAGUGGGCAUCUCAGGUUAAAAAGCAUACCUCUUACAUGAUGACUAUAGAAAUGUCAUUUAUUGGAAGUGUGUGCUUGUUAGCAAGUACCUAUCGGUCACCAGAUGGAGAAGCCAUAAGGAAAUAUGGGGUUUUCCAUGAAUGGACUUUCUGGACCAUGGUACCGGUAUUAAUGAAUGCCGUGGGUGGAAUUCUUGUUGGUCUUGUCACAACUUACGCAGGUGGUAUUAGAAAGGGUUUUGUUAUAGUCUCAGCUCUCCUUGUAACUGCACUGCUACAAUUCGUGUAUGAUGGGAAGCCACCAUCACUCUACUGCCUGAUGGCAUUACCACUUGUUGCGACAAGCAUAUUCAUCUACCAGAAGUAUCCAUAUGUGGAUAAGAAGAAGAAAGUCUGAUGCACAUAAUUGUCAGAGAUGGGAAGUAUCAUCAGCAGGAUGUAAUGCUAACCUUAUUUUGUCCACAAGGCUGGAAUUUGCACCGUCAAGUGGGCCAGAUGUGACUCUUGAAGAGUUGCCUGUUCGUGAAUCUAUUUUCAAUUAUCUACUGAUCUAGAUAUAUAAUUAAAUUAGCAGUACAGUAGCCUGGAAUCAGUUUCAGCAGGCAGUUGACAUGCUUGCAUGUAACAUCUGGAAGGAGGUUUCAUAUUAAUGGUGUUUACUUGCACAGCAUGAUGAACCUACUGUGUCUGCCUUUCAUGGAUUGUUAUUUAUAGACUGAUUUGUGAAUUUUGAAUAUGUUAUUUAUGAUGACAGAAACUAAGAACUAAUUAUUUUGCGUCAAUCCUUCUCAUUCGGAAUCUGCACUAUGUUAGUUGUCAUAUUUUAUCCUGCAAUGACUCGUCUAAUUCAGAUGGUUUUGCUUCUCAAUUGUGAUUGCUGUGGUUCCCACUAGGCCAGGGCAAAGCAACAUGUGCAGUGCUCGCUGUCCCAGCCCAGCUUAUGGUGUAGAGAGUCGCCAUGCGAUUGCUUAAUUAUCUAUGUUGUCUUCGGUUAUAUGUCUGGUAGUUUUUCUACGUAUCAUAAGAUGGGGAAUCCUUGUAAAUCAUUUAUGUUACCUCUAGUAAAUCUCAUUGUUUGCCAUCCUAAACGUCCAUUGUCUUUCAUAUCUCCUGAUUAAUUCACCAUGGUGCAUUGUGAAAAAGUUUCAGGUAACUUCUUUAUUGAGGCAAAGGAGCAGAAGGUAAGAGUGGCACACAAUCUCACUGCCAAGAUGUUCCCUUUGAGUCCUCGUUGUCACAGAUAAAAGGUUACCGUGCAACUGAACUCACAAUGACUGAGAGAGUUGACUCCAGUUCAUCAUCGUAUUUGAUUGCUGAUGCCUGUCCAAAUAACUCCUACUCGAAAUGUCAGCCUCGUCGGCAGUAUAUGGAUCAGAAUGUACUGAAGCUGCCGGAGGUGACCAGACCGGUACCAAUCCACCUUCCCUACCCGUCCAGCUGCUCGAUGCCUCUGAAAUUGAUGGAGCGAUACCUAGCACGCGGUGCAUGUUGUUCUGAAGAUUCUGCUGCUGUUGGUUGCCAUUCACCCUGACAGUAUUGCCAGUGGCACCGUCAACUGUUUCUUCCCUCUCCGCCCGAGCCUGCAGAUGAAUGUUUGACGGCACUUCUGGCCUACUGUCCUCACUGGUGUUGCCAAAGUCUGCAGUGAGUUCGGUCUCAGCUCUAAUUAACGAGGAAGUCAUGCUAGGCACCCUCUGGUCUUCUCGUCUCCAACCAGCCACUACCGGCGUGUGGAUGAUAGCAGGUUGAGCUGGUUGUCGGUCCACUUCCAUCCGUAAUUCUUGAGGGAAGUCGAUCGGCGGCUCAUCUGUGGAAUCGCCGAGGCCUUCUUCCAUCCCGUUCUCGAUGGCAGCACAAGAGGCUGCCUCAAGCUCCCACAUCUCUGACAGGGCACCCUGCAACCUGGAAUUGGCUGCAUCUAACUCCACAAUGGGGCGUGGGUAGUUGGAGCCUAGCUCGACUCCUGCAGCCUGAAGCACAGACUCAGGUGCAUCCCAGGGGUGGUGUAUCCAUUCCGUCGGCAGCCUCGCCAGCUCCGGUAGCCAUCGCCGGAAAGACUGAAUAGAGCAAAGGUACCUGAGGGUUGUCAAUGCGGUCAAGCUCACGGCCAUCAGGGAGAGACCCAGAAAUGUACUGCCAGCCUAGUGCGUCACUCUCAAGGUCAGCAUCCAGCAAGGUGUCCCAGAAGUACUUCAUGCCCCAGCGCCAUGGCAGCUGGAGCACCUUGACGAAGAAGCUAGAGACAACGACACGUAUCCGGUCGUGAACCCAGCCGGUGGCCCAGAGCUCCCUCAUGCCAGCGUCGACAAGAGGGUAGCCAGUCCUCCCUUGUCUCCAGACCUUGAAGUGCACCUCAUCGACGACCCAGGGGAAGAACCUGAGGUGCGACAGAAGGGGCUUCUCAAGGCUGCAGGGGUGGUUGAAGGUGAGGUACCUCGAGUACUCCCGCAGGCCGAUGGCGCGGAGGAAUAGCGUGCAGCUCUCCUCGCCGGCGCGGUCGCCGUCGUUGCUCCACAUCAGCUGCUUCAUCCGCACCUGGUGGAAGACCUUGCGGACGCUGAGCUCGCCGAAGUGCAGGUACGGAGACAGCAGGGACGUGCUGGCGCUGUCGGCCUUCUUGUGGUUCGCGGAGUAGUCGACCAGCGGACCGUCGAGGAAGGCCGUUAGCGCCUUGUCAGCGUUCUGCCACCCUGGUGACCACGCUCGUGCGAGCAGCGCAUUGCUGCCCUUCUCGGACUCGUCUUCAAAGAUGAGCUCGUCCCACGGACACCUCGACAGGUCACCUGUGGAGCUCAGCAUUUUUCACGUCAUCCAGUGUGGCCAUUAGAACUCUGUAGGCAAAUGCAUUUGGAUACCUGAAUUGAUCCUCUUGGGCGGCAGCAGUGGUGCGGCAGGGUCCGGCAUGCACAGGCACCUGUUCCAGAAUGGCGCGAACAUGGUGAAGGGGAAGCCGUCGUCGUCGAGGACCUCCCACGGCUCGUACAGCAGAUCGGCGUUGAAGGACUGCACAGUGAUGCCCUCCGCCGACAGCUGCUCCUUCACGCGGUGGUCCCGGACCAGCGAUAGCGGGUCUGCACGGCGGGCACGAGACAGCGAUCGGUGAGGAAUCGAGGACCGUUCGUGUCAACCGGGCCCCAAAGUUUAUUUUUAUUGAUGGUUCUUGGGAGAAAAGGAAACUCCAAAGAAGAAAGAUGCAGGUUGUUUUGUUUGGUGAGUACAAUUGGCUGGGUGCAAGGACUUUUUGGAAUUAAGGAGGGCGACGGCGACGGCGACCAAAGUCAGUAAGGCAGGAUGCUAAUUGCUAAACUAAGCUUGGAGUUGGUUUACGUGUGGAGUAUAUGAGAUAUCCAUUAAUGGCAGAUAUACGAAAGCGAAACUGUUCAUGGAAA